This is an RNA transcript of Helianthus annuus (common sunflower), 2798 nucleotides long. RefSeq lists it as uncharacterized. The transcript has 10 exons. Lineage: Eukaryota; Viridiplantae; Streptophyta; Magnoliopsida; Asterales; Asteraceae. The record is from RefSeq and is a predicted model, not a curated record.
UUAUAUUUCAUUUUUUCUCAUUCGUCUUUCACAACCCUAAAGAAACAUAGUUGCAGCUCUGUCUCCCUCCUAUCGCCACCGCCAAGAUCCUUCCUCAGUUCCACAAAAUCUCACCAAUCGACAAUCAUACACUCGAUCUAAGAUCUUUGUUACCUAUCAAUCAAGAUUGUUGUUUUUCAGCCCAAUUCCAAGCACAGCCAGGUAUGUCGAGGUCUUUUGUUUAUCUCAGUUUGUUUUUUUUGUUUUUUUUUUGUUACUGAUCGAUUUCUAGGGUUUCUGGAAUAAAUCUAUUGAUCGAUUUCUAGGGUUUCUGUCAUAAAUCGAUUUCUAGGGUUUUUGACAUAAAAUGGUUUGGAUAAAAUAUUGUGGAAAAUGAUGAUGACAUAACUAAAUGCAAAAAGAGUAAUUCUACUGGUUCCGGAUCGAAAAAGUGGAUGUUCUGGUCUUUGCUGAGGCGGAGCAAUAGCGAAGGUAAGGAGUCGAUGGUGUUGAAGAAGGUGGAUAGUCCGAAGCAAAAGCGGAAUUUGGGUGAGGGUUUUGCACAGAUUGGCGAACGAUUGUCGUGUUGAUAAGCUGGUAUAAUCUGUUUGAAGUGCUAUCAUAAUAGGUCCAAUCUGCGACUAGGAGGGAUCUAAGGCAUGGCUAAUUAGGAUUAUGAUACAUACAUUAUCAAAUGGUUACCAGAAUGCCUUAGCAUUAUUGGAUAUCUACGAAUAAUAGGAAUAUAUAGUGAGUAUGGAAUGCUCCUACAUGUAUCUUUAUUGUAUCUAACUAUUUACUCAUGGGUUAUGCAGCAACUGAUAGUAUUCUUUGUUAUAGGUAGGCUAUAGUGCUUUUACUCAGAGGAAUUAAAUCCAAUAAAUUGUUAAUGAUAUCAAAUGUGGUGGUACUAUUCUUCAAACUCCACGAGUAGGCCAUGAUGCUAACAAGAUAGUAUAAUUGGAGGCGAUGACACUCAAAAAGGGGUGGCUGACAUUUUAAAGGCGAUUGAUUGUUUAACAAUCAUAUUUGUUUUCGGUUGUUUUUUGAGUUCCAAAAUUAAUAUAUAGCAGGGUUUAAGAUUUUUUUUUCUCAAAUUGUCCGGUUAUUUCAACAUUUUUGCUGGAAACUCUAAAAUUGCUUAAGAACAAAUGGAAAGAAUAGCGGUGGAAUAUUGCAAGGCAGCUGGGUCGGUCUUCUCACGCGUGUCCAGGCGUUUCCUUUCCUUCAUGGUGUGGAGAGAUAUGCUUAUAGAGAGAGAGAGAUAGACAAGGAAGACGGCAUCACGAAUGGUGAGGUAAACCUACAAACACUAAUUGAUUUAAAAAAAAAGUUAAGUGGACUUUAUGAUUUUUGAUAUUACUUUUCUUAAUCUUACAACAUAUAUAUCUUUUUUAAAUCAAUUAUGCAAAAACAACAGUUUUUUGUUAAAGAUGAAGUAACUAGGCAUUUUCAUUUUGUUCGUGCAGUUAAGUGAUUUAAUCAAAGCGAACUCCAAAUAUAUUUUAGAAAUUAUAACAACAUUAACAGGUGUCUAUUGUGUCAUAAUAUGAAAUCCUUACUAAUGUAGCCAUCCUAUCGUACUUUUGUCGCGGGAUGACCCGAUUUAAGAUAUUCACCAUUUAUUGUAAUUUACCAUGUGAUGGUACUAAUCUUAGUAUGGGUGAUAAGAUUCCUACUGUUCACGCCUUUUUAUUUGCUUAUUACUUUUAUUAUUUUUUAUUUCUUUUGUUUACGAGACCCAAAUAUUGUUGGGUAUAUGCCAAAGUGUUUUAUGAUGUUGCUUUUUUUACUCUUUUUCCCUGUGUAGGUUAAUUUUUUUAAUCAAAUAAUACGAUAACAACACAUAUAUUGGCAUACAUUAAGACGUCCUUCAAUUUGGACAUUUUUUUCACUCUUUUACAAUAGGUAGAAUAUGUAUUUUUAUAACCUUUUUUUUCAUUUGAGGUAUAAAAAAAUUCUGCUGGAGUGGCGAGAGACAUAUCUUCAAAAGAUAUACAAAUGAACAGUACCUGGACUGACUAAAGAUUACCGAAUAGGUGAAUUCACCUGAUAUAAUUCAAAGUACAAAAUGAUGGUAAAACAAUUUUUUUGUAUCAUAAAUGGGCUUUAGUUAAGUUUUUUAUUUAAUUAUUAAUGGCUCAACACUUGGUUAUCCUAUUUUUUUUUUCUCAUGAAAGAAUUGACUCAUCAUUCAUGAAUCUAGCAAAUGACAUGUUGACACAAGACUAGAAAUAACAAGAACAUCUUAAGUGAUGUUAAUCUGAGAGGAGGAGUUCAUAUUUAUUUUGUGUUGUCAACGAAGAGCUUUAUCAUGAUGUAGAUUAUCUCUUUUCCAGCUUGAGCUACUAUCAAUUAUGGAGAAGUUGCGAGACAUAUGGUACAAAGGAUCUAGGAAUCAACAAAGUAAGGGUUAUACAAUGGUUUCGGGUGUUUGGCGACAGGGAGAAUGUUGGGCGUUGGAGCAUGUUUCGGUACCUACGAGUUAUUGACGACUUUCUAUAAAGACGGCCGUAAAGACAACUAGGUGUACAUCUCUAAAGCUCUCACAGCAGGAAUCGUAGCAAGUGGUGUGGUGUCACACCCCCAAAAUCCACCUGCGGAUAACACCCGCUUCGAGGGCGUGACUGACCAGGAUCCAGCCACCAAUUAUACUGAGCAUUUAAUUAAUAGUAGAAAUAUUUAAUAUCCGAAGUAAUUAAUCAACAUUAGAGUUUAGAUUCGGUAAUUGGUUUAACAAAACAGCGGAAGCAUAAACCAAAACAGUUUUAAAGACAGUUCAUUGAUCAAAACAGUUAUCCCAACACACGGGUUUGACG